GAUGAACGCUGGCGGCGUGCCUAAUACAUGCAAGUCGAGCGAACAGAUGAGGAGCUUGCUCCUCUGACGUUAGCGGCGGACGGGUGAGUAACACGUGGAUAACCUACCUAUAAGACUGGAUAACUUCGGGAAACCGGAGCUAAUACCGGAUAAUAUAUUUAACCGCAUGGUUCAAUAGUGAAAGACGGUUUUGCUGUCACUUAUAGAUGGAUCCGCGCCGCAUUAGCUAGUUGGUAAGGUAACGGCUUACCAAGGCAACGAUGCGUAGCCGACCUGAGAGGGUGAUCGGCCACACUGGAACUGAGACACGGUCCAGACUCCUACGGGAGGCAGCAGUAGGGAAUCUUCCGCAAUGGGCGAAAGCCUGACGGAGCAACGCCGCGUGAGUGAUGAAGGUCUUCGGAUCGUAAAACUCUGUUAUUAGGGAAGAACAAAUGUGUAAGUAACUAUGCACGUCUUGACGGUACCUAAUCAGAAAGCCACGGCUAACUACGUG
Molecule: ribosomal RNA, 496 nt
Filed under: uncultured bacterium
Lineage: Bacteria
Description: partial 16S ribosomal RNA
Rfam family: Bacterial small subunit ribosomal RNA
Source: RNAcentral